GCAUGCCUAAGUACAGCUCCCCUCGCGGGGGCGAAACCACAGACGGCUCAUUAAAUCAGAUGUGACUGGCUGGCCGACGCGCCUCUCCUGUCCCGUGCUUCCGUCCUCGCGGCGGUCGUCACGGCAAGGGGGAAACGGCGACCGGCGGGGCUCUCGGGUCCCCCGGCGCCGGCGUCUUUACUUGGAUAUCUGUGGCAAUUCCAGAGCUAAUACAUGCCUUUAGAGUCUUCGCGCCGCGGCAGCGGGCGGCCGCCUUAACCGGCGUGUCCGCGUCCGGCCGGGUGCGGAGCGCUUUUAUUAGAGCCUAAAACCUUCGGAGCAGGGUCCGCCCCACUCCCUCUUUGGUGUUUGGCGAAUCGGAAUAAAGCCCUUGUCCUACGCCGAGCGCCGCCCGCGCGCGGCCUUCACCGGUCCGCGCGGCGACGCCGCGGCCCAGCAGGCUUCUGCCCUAUCAUGCUGUGGAUUGUAAGUUAAGCGCUUACAAUGGCUGUUACGGGUAACGGGGAAUCAGGGUUCGAUUCCGGAGAGGGAGCCUGAGAAACGGCUACCACAUCUAAGGAAGGCAGCAGGCGCGCAAAUUACCCACUCCCGGCUCGGGGAGGUAGUGACGAAAAAUACCGUUGCGAGCCCCUCUCGGGGUUUCGCCAUCGGAAUGGGCCCAAUCCUUAAAACCGUGGGCGAGGACCCAGUGGAGGGCAAGUCUGGUGCCAGCAGCCGCGGUAAUUCCAGCUCCACUGGCGUAUACUAAAGCUGUUGCGGUUAAAAAGCUCAUAGUUGGACUUCUGCCCGCGACCGGUGGCGUCUCCGGUAGCCGCGCUCCAAACCUCGGCCCCCCUCGUUCCCGCCGACGACCGUUCACGCGGCGCCGCGCGGUUGGAGGGCGGGUACUCUGGCCCGAGCGUCGGAGGCACCAAACCAAUGCCGGAUCCGCGCGGCUGUCAGAGAGCCGGCCUCCGCCAGCGAGUUUGAGCAAGGGGUCAGCUGGCGGGCGCUCUAGCGGGUCCGUCCCCCUCACGGGGGCCACGCCGCGAAAGCAGGCCGGAACUUUUACUGUGAAUAACUCAGGGUGCUCAAAGCAGGCCUCGCGGAUGGGCAUAGCGUCCCCCGCGCCAAAUGGCCUGAAUGCCCGCUCAUGGAAUGAUGGAAGACGACCUACGGUCCAGUCUUUUGUCGGUUUUUGUGGUACCGAGGUAAUGAUUAAUAGGGACUGACGGGGGCAGUCGUACUGCGACGCGAGAGGUGAAAUUCUGAGACCGUCGCAUGACGCCCAAAAGCGAAGGCAGCUGCCAAGGAAGUCUUCGUUAAUCAAGAACGAAAGUUAGAGGCUCGAAGGCGAUCAGAUACCGCCCUAGUUCUAACCCUAAACGAUGCAGACCAGCAAUCAGGCGGCGCCGUUGGCGGCCCGCCUGGCGGCUUUUAUCCCCGGGAAACCAGAGUGUGUGUGUUCCGGGGGGAGGUAUGGUUGCAAAGCUGAAACUUAAAGGAAUUGACGGAAGGGCACCACCAGGAGUGGAGCCUGCGGCUCAAUUUGACUCAACACGGGGAAACUCACCAGGCCCGGACACCGGAAGGAUUGACAGAACGAAGGCUCUUUCUUGAUUCGGUGGGUGGUGGUGCAUGGCCGUUCUUAGUUGGUGGAGUGAUCUGUCUGGUUAAUUCCGGUAACGAACGAGACUCCAGCCUACUAACUAGGCGACGGGCCUCGCCGUCCCCUCCCCCUCGCUCGCGUUGGGGGGGUGGCGGUAGUGAGCCGCGGUCGUCGGUGCCCCCUCGCGGCCAGCCACUCGUUGGUUGGUUCGCGGGCCGGCUGCCUUCCGCCCCAAGGGGUGUGGGGGUUGUUCGGGUCGGAGGAACGGCCGUCCUUCGGGGCGUGCUCUCCGUGGGGCGUUGAAAAGCCGAGAUCGGCGUCCGUCAAUCAAAGCAUUUCUUCUUAGAGGGAUAAGCGGCAGCUUGAAGCAGUUAGCCGCGCGAGAACUCGAGCCAUAACAGGUCUGUGAUGCCCUUAGAUGUCCUGGGCCGCACGCGCGCUACAAUGGAGGGCUCAGCGAGCAGCGCCCCCCUCCGAAAGGAGCGGGGAACCUCCGCAAAGCCGAUCAGCGCGCCUCGCGGCGCCGUGCUUCCCUAAAGGGGAUCGGGGCUUGCAAAUGUUUCCCGUGAACGAGGAAUUCCCAGUAGGCGCAAUUCAUCAGAUUGCACCGACUGAGUCCCUGCCCUUUGUACACACCGCCCGUCGCUACUACCGAUUGGGUGACCUGGCGAGGACCCCGGACUGGACUAUCGGCCCUCUGUGGUCGAGACGUCCGGAAAGGCGCCCGAGC
RNAcentral lists this ribosomal RNA (2318 nucleotides) under Sicyonia ingentis (ridgeback rock shrimp). RNAcentral's name for it is "partial 18S ribosomal RNA". It matches the Rfam family "Eukaryotic small subunit ribosomal RNA". The record is from RNAcentral. Lineage: Eukaryota; Metazoa; Arthropoda; Malacostraca; Decapoda; Sicyoniidae.